AAAGGAUCAGCAUGUUUUCAUCCUUACUAGGAUUUAGGCAUAAGGAUGGUUGAUGGGUAGGAAGAGAUUUGAUGAGAUGUACCAUCAGAGAUAAAAGGGAGGGAACAGAAACUUAACUGUGCUUUUACUUUUCAGAAGGGAGCCAGGGACUAUAGAUCAGGAGCCAAAACUUGGAUAAUGAGGUAAGAUUCUGGAAUGCAUGUUAUUUUGUCAUGUUUGGUGCCUACUCUUAGCAUAUUUUUUUUGAAAGCUUAUGGAAAAAAGACUCUAAACUUGACUUUGAAAACUGCUAGAAAGGGAUUUCUGUGAACCUAGCAUUCUACUCUGUCACCAAGCUGAGGAAAAAUAAAUCUUCGUGGGGGAAAAUAAAAGGGUACUGGCAGAAUUGAAAGAGAAAAGGAAAUGGACUGAGCCUCUGAGACUUAUGCAAAGUUAGCAAAUGAGCAAAAGUCUCUGGAACUGAUAGAAGUCUUAGGGCUUGGCUCACAGUUCUGGGAUUUGUGAUAACAGAUAGUUAUCCUUUGCAAAUCCUCAAAGUAGCCCAUGAAGGAACCCUGAUGUUUCAUUCUAAUCAACAAAGUGGUUUUCAGGUUAGUGGAUAACAGGGAAACCAGGAAGUGAGCCUCUGUGAGUCGGGGGAGAAAAGCAUGGCAUUGCCACAGCCAUGAUUGAUAGAGGAAACAUGCUUCCAUCCCAGUUUGUGGAGGCCUGUUGAACCAGGGGUUUGCAGGAAUCACUAGGUCACAACAUGAGGAGUAAGAAGGACUCCUCCACCCUGAGAGGUAUAUACUGAGGAAUAUCUGAUCAUGGGAUCAACUGGAGAAAACCAGUAGGAAUUGGCUUUUUAGAAAGAUCACUCAGUGUAGAGAAUGGAUUAGAGAGGGUAUGACUGCUGGGAGAGAGACCAGUUGGGAAGCUGGUAUGGGUAAUCUAGAUAAGAUGAUGAUGGUCUGAACUUGAAUAGCAGCACUGUGCGUGGGGGGAAAUGGAUCAACGCAAAGAUAUUUAAGGGGCAAAAUUAACAAAAUAUGAUAUGGGAGGUGAAGGAGCAUGGAUGUUAUCAUACACUUAUCAAGGAAUCUUUUUUUCAGUGGAACAUCUGUGAACACAUAGAAGAACGGUUAUAGCAAAACACAUGACUGAAUGGGACAAUAUAGUGAAAAUGCAAACUUUGGCCUAGAGUGAUUGCAAUGUUCAACUCUGAACGAAAUGCCAAAAACAAGUACCUGAAGGCUAAAGACAGUGAACAAAAGCAGGCAAGUUUUGGUGGGAAGAUGAAACUUGGAAGAAGGUGCCAUUAAGAGGAGGUAAGUUUCCUGGUUUUGAUGUGUUAGCCUGAGGGCAGUCUACUAGCAGAGUAGCUAAAACACAAUAGAAAGCCAUCUUUUUUUUUUUUUUUUUUUUUUUUUUUUUUUUUUUUUUUUUUUUUUUUGGCUUGAACAACCUGAGAGCAGAGUCUGCAGCAACACAGUCACUGGAUGGAGGGGGAAAUCCCAGAACAGAGGCAGAGAAGGUCAUGCCGCAAUUUCUGAGUAUGAACUUUGCUUAGAUCUCUAGCUGACCCCUGAGGCACACCUGUGGGGUAGACCCAAAGCAAUCUGCAGCUAGUCAGAACUCAACUGAGAUGUGAUUUACUUAUAACCACAGGUUGGGUCAGUUUGCAGUUUGAGUUGAACCAAGUUAAUCGAUUGCCUGCCAUAGCAAAAACAUCGACACUAUUCUGAGGAGUAAAACGGAAUCCGUGGUUUCCACAACAUAACAGUCACAAUUCAAAAUUACUCAGCAUAGGAGGAACCAGAAAAAGGCAGUCCUUUGCAAAAGAUAAGACAAUUAAUGGAAGCCAACCCUGAGAUAACAUAGAUGUUGGCCUGAUCAGACAAGGACUAUGAAACAGCUAUUAUAACUAUGCUCAAUGAGGUAAAAGAAAAUAUGUUGUAAUGAAUGGAAAGAUAAGAAAUCUCAGCAAGGAUGGAGAAAUAUUUAGAAAUGUCGAUGAAAAGAGUCAAACUCUGUAAAAUAUUUGAAUAGAUUUAUUCUGAGCCAAAUAUGAGCGACCACGACACGUGACACAGCCGUCAGGAGGUCCUGAGAACAUGUGCCCAAGGUGGUUGGGGUUCAGCUUGGUUAUAUACAUUUUGGGGAGGCAUGAAACAUCAAUCAAAUACAUUUGAAAAAUACAUUGGUUUGUUCCAGAAAGGCAGGACAAUUUGAAGUGGGGGGGAUGGUGCUUCCAGGCUAUAGGUAAAUUUAAUCAUUUCUGGUUGACAAUUGGUUGAGUUUGUAUAAAGACCUGAGAUUAAUAGAAGAAUUUGAGCAAGAUAAAAAAUCAGAGCUUAGUCCUCAGAAAGAACCAAACAAAUUUUACAAAAGAACCAAACAAUAUCUGAGAUAAAAAUAUAUCUCUUAAUUCACUAUGCUAAACUGCCUCCCUGCUUCUCAAUGUUUAUCUGUUAGAUCAAGUUUAUGUUUAUCAAUUGUGUUUAGACCUUAUCUCCAUUUACUAAGUUAAGGUCUUUUUGAUUUAUAAGUUUCUGAAAGAGGCAUAAUAAAAAUUCCCACUAUGGCUGUGGCUAUAUCAAUUUUAGCUUGUAAUUCUGACUGUUCCCACUUUUGUAUGUUGAGAUUUUUUGCUAGGGUCAUUCACAUUUAUGAUUAUUAUAUCUGCUUUGUAAAUUGUUCCUUAUGUAGCAUCUCACUUUAUCCUUAUUUAUGUCUUUUCUUAAAUUCUAUUUUCUUUACUUUUUAACAUCAAUAUUUUGUCAAAAUUUGUAGAGUAAAAUGUUUAAGAAAAUCAAGGAAAGAAAAUAUGAGCCAGAAAUUUUAUAAGAAGACAAACUGACCUUUAAUUAUAAGAGUCACAGGCAAGUUCUAAUGAAAACAUUAGAAUUCAGGGACUAUUUUUCCCAGAUCGUUCCUAAGGAAUCUACUAAACAGCAUGAACAUUAAACAACCAACAUAAUUGAAAAGUUUGAUAUGAGGAUUUAUGGUAAGGAUGAAUCAUAUAUUUAUUUACAGAAAUAAGUCUAAAUUAUGCUUACAAGGAAUAGAGAAUAGUAUGCAAUGGUUGUGUGCUCUGACAAUGUAGAUACAGUACAACUAUAAAAAAUUGGUGGGGGAGUGGGGAGAGCUAUGAAAAGCAGAAUUAGCUUGUCAUUUGCCUUAUAGUUAUUAACUGAAGUAAAAGGACAUUACUUCAAAUCAGAUGUUGAGGAAAAGGGAGAGUUGGGGCAAAAGAGGUUUAUAGUUACUUUCAAUAUUGCUCAUUAGAGGGAAGCAAUAGUCAUUUACCAAGAAAAAA
RNAcentral lists this long non-coding RNA (3298 nucleotides) under Homo sapiens (human). Its description in RNAcentral is "HSALNT0364965". The record is from RNAcentral. Lineage: Eukaryota; Metazoa; Chordata; Mammalia; Primates; Hominidae.